UUCCAUCAUUGCAAAUUUGCUUACUCACUGAAAUGCAUUUGCAACCCCAAAUCAAUACCGACAGGGCGUUUCCGCUCAUCUGAGGAUGUGCAGAGAGCAGGAAAACACUGGAGUGGCCCAGCGUGCAUGGCUCCCAGCUGGGGUCAGCCGAGGAGAGGCUCUGGCCUGGCUUCGCCUCUCCUCCUGUAAACAAGUGUCCUUUUGGAGGAGGGCUCUGGAGUGUGCCCCACGCCUGGCUACGUCCUCCAUGCUCUGGAAAUCUCUCUAGGUGGCAUGAUACCUAGUAUGGCAUAGAUGCUGCAUAAAUAGCUGUCACCCUGUCUUGUCUGGGGGAUAAUGACAGGGAAAAGGCUUCAUGUCUUCCGAACACACUAAAAUUUUUUUUCGGAAUAUUUUGGAUCCAAUGUAGGUUGGACUCACAGACACAGAACCCACAGAUACAGGGAGCCAGCUGUAUGUUAGCUGUUGUCUUUCAACCGAAACAUGCAGAAGACAAAGUACUAGUCGAUGGGCUGAGAAAGCAGUUGUGACCAGCACCUGAAGGAACCUGACCCUGUGUUUCCCCUCGGAGCAGAGGUCGGUAUUCACUGAUUCACUGUUUGCUGGGGCUUUAAAGGACAGGACUACCAUGGAUGACGAGAACUGACGCUAUGUGGAUUGACUUAUGCGUCGUCUUCUCUUGCUAUGAGUGUGAGGAUGUUGCUGUGUUCUGCUUCCGACCCAAGCCAGGCAUGCAGUAAGUGCUCAAUAAAUGUUUUUGUUUUAUUUUGGGAGGACUGAGGACUGAACCCAAGGACACUGAGCUACAUCCCAUCCUUUUUGUUUUUUAUUCUGAGACAAGGUCUCACUACAUUGCUGAGGGUCUCACUAAGAUGCUGAGGCUCACCUCAAACUUACGAUCCUCCUGCCUUAGGCUUCCAAGUCACUGGGAUUACAUGUGUGCAUCACCACACCCAGCUCCAAUAGUUUUUUUUUUUUUUAAUAUUUAUUCUUUAGUUGGACACAAUAUCUUUAUUUUAUUUAUUUAUUUUUAUGUGGUGCUGAGGAUUGGACCCAGGGCCUCGCACAUGCUAGGUGGGCGCUCUGCUGCUGAGCCAUAAUCCGAGCCCCCAAUCAUUCUUUUAAUCAAUCAAUGAAGUCAUAUAGAAUUAAUAAAAAGUUUAUAUAAAACGAUCCAGUCCAGAACUGCUAGGCUGGUGGCUACUAAGGAUCAGAGCCGCGCUGGGUUGGUUUGCAGAAGCUACACUGAGUACCUGGAAAGGCAUCGAAGCCCAUUGGGAUGGGCCAGGUUGCCUCUGGGUCUCCCUAGAACCUGUGCCUGGUGGACCUAGAGACUCCCUAAUGCUGAGGGGCUCCAGUGGACACCCCAAAGGAUCAACCUGGUGAGUUUUGCAUGGGAGCACCCACACCUCUGGGCCCCAGUCUGAAGCCACAGAUCCAUCUUUCCCUCUCCCAGGAAGCCUUCCCUGGAACCAAGGGUCUCCUCUGGGCUCCCAGGGUCCCGACAGGCACAUGAGUCCAGGGACUGUGGGCCCUGUGCCCCCCACCAAGCUGAGUUCUUGAGGCAGAGCCCGACAGCUGCGGUUUCCUGCUGUGAUCUCGGCUUCCUCCUGGUACAGUUGUCAAAUGACCAUAAGAGUCAUUCUAACGAUGGCUGCUGCACCAGGCGCCUCGAUAGACCUCUUGUAAGUUACCCAUUUCAUCUAAUUCCCACCCACCACCCAACGGUGCUGGGGUUUGAAUGUGUUCCCCAAAACUCACGGGUUAGGAACUUAGUGUUGGGAGGCCAGCCUACUGGGGGAGACGUUUAAUUCAGGAGGAUGGAGCUCUUGGGAGGGGACUCCUGUGACCAUGGAAAGGCAUGGAGGAGCAGGCGAGUUCUCAUCCCUGUCUGCUGCCCCCACCCCACCAGCCUUCUGCCAGGUGAGGACAUAACAAUCCUCCCUCUAGAGGAUGUGCCAGUCAAGAACCUGUCUGGAAGCGGCAACCCACCUGCAGGUGCCUGGCCUCGACCUGCAAGAGCCCAACCUCAGAGCCAUGAGGGGAUGAAUCUGUGCUCUUCCUAAAUUAAAACAAAAAAACAGCACAAAAGUCGUCUAAGGUGAAUGCGAACAGUUAUUCCCAUCUCUCAGUUAAAGAACGAAGUUCAGAGAGGAUGAUUCACGCUCAGAGUUGCACAGCUUGUAAGUCUGAAUCAGGUCACACUGACCCUCUUGCCAGAUGGGGUGUCAGGAGAACUACAGCUCUGAGCUGAUCCUGGGGUGAGGUCACCGUGCCCACUGCCCUAUACACACACAGAGACCCUGGGCUGGGCCCCACCUCACCGCACACUGCAUAGCCCUUCUGCCCAGGCCCAGAGCGCUGGGCCAAGAGGAGUUGGGGACAGGUCCCUGAAGGAGCCAGAGCUCAUUACCUGAACAAGGUCCUUCACUUGCAGAGGACAAGCCCCUCCCUCCAGCCUCUGCUGCCUGGGUUCUAAGAGGGAGGUGCCUUGACAAGAAGCUCCCAGCCUGGUCUCAGAUCCUGUGACUGAAAAGGGAAGUUCACGAGAGGAGUCAAGGUGGGUUUUUAAACACCCCCCUCUGCCUGGUGGAGCACCUCUGCAGUCCCAGGUAUUUGGGAGGCCGAGGCAGAAGGAUUGCAAGUCCCAGGAUGGCUUCGGCAACUUAGUGAGAGCCUGUGUCAAAAUAAAAAUUAAAAAGAGCUGCAGAUAGACCUCAGAGGUAGAGUGCUGGCCUGGCAUGCUGUGAGGCCCCAGGGUGGGUCCCCAGUACAAAACAAAAGUGGGGAGAAAAAGAAAUAUCCAAUUCUCUCUCCAUGCCUGAGCUUCGGGACGCAGGCCUGGGGAGCCUUCCUCAGUGAGCGCCAAGUCCCCACGUAGAUAUCACAGAACAUCUUCUCCUCCAGCCUGGAUAAGCAGGGCUGACUUUAUGCCGCGUCAGGAAUGACCUUGCUGUCUAAGCCAGACCGCCCCGAAUGCACCAGAUCUCUGGGCUACAACACCUCCCCUCGCAGAGCUGAGAUGCUGCAGGGAGACACAGGAUCCACAAAACCAAGGGUUCCACAGAGUACGUCAGGUAGUGACUCCUGGGAGUAAAGUAAACCAGGGAAGGGAGAGGAGGUGUGGAGGGUGUGAUAUUAAAU
Molecule: long non-coding RNA, 3144 nt
Filed under: Marmota monax (woodchuck)
Lineage: Eukaryota; Metazoa; Chordata; Mammalia; Rodentia; Sciuridae
Source: RNAcentral